Molecule: small RNA, 367 nt
Filed under: Pongo abelii (Sumatran orangutan)
Lineage: Eukaryota; Metazoa; Chordata; Mammalia; Primates; Hominidae
Description: retained intron
Source: RNAcentral
CUGGUGGCUGACCUCAGGGAAGCCAUCCUGCGCGUGGCACGCCACUUCCAGUGCACAGACCCCAAAAACUGCAGUGUGGAGCUGACUCCAGACUAUAGCAUGGAGAGCCACCAGCGGGACCACGAGAACUACGUGGCGUGUUCACGCAGCCACCGGCGCCGAGCCAAGGCCCUGCUGGACUUUGAGCGGCACGACGAUGACGAGCUGGGCUUCCGCAAGAACGACAUCAUCACAGUGCGUGGGGCGCUGGACUACCAGGUCCUCAGGCUGUGGCGGGUUCCCCAGCCUCCCUCCACCAAGCCCCACCCCAACCCCUUUCCCUGUCAAGAGCUUCUCUUGUGAAGAUGUAGGGGGUCUUGGACUGGCC